CNGNNGGGGGGGGGGCCUAAACACAUGCAAGUCGAGCGGUAGAGAGAAGCUUGCUUCUCUUGAGAGCGGCGGACGGGUGAGUAAUGCCUAGGAAUCUGCCUAGUGGUGGGGGAUAACGUUCGGAAACGGACGCUAAUACCGCAUACGUCCUACGGGAGAAAGCGGGGGAUCUUCGGACCUCGCGCCAUUAGAUGAGCCUAGGUCGGAUUAGCUAGUUGGUGAGGUAAAGGCUCACCAAGGCGACGAUCCGUAACUGGUCUGAGAGGAUGAUCAGUCACACUGGAACUGAGACACGGUCCAGACUCCUACGGGAGGCAGCAGUGGGGAAUAUUGGACAAUGGGCGAAAGCCUGAUCCAGCCAUGCCGCGUGUGUGAAGAAGGUCUUCGGAUUGUAAAGCACUUUAAGUUGGGAGGAAGGGUAGUAACUUAAUACGUUGCUACUUUGACGUUACCGACAGAAUAAGCACCGGCUAACUUCGUGCCAGCAGCCGCGGUAAUACGAAGGGUGCAAGCGUUAAUCGGAAUUACUGGGCGUAAAGCGCGCGUAGGUGGUUCAGUAAGUUGGAUGUGAAAUCCCCGGGCUCAACCUGGGAACUGCAUCCAAAACUGCUGAGCUAGAGUACGGUAGAGGGUGGUGGAAUUUCCUGUGUAGCGGUGAAAUGCGUAGAUAUAGGAAGGAACACCAGUGGCGAAGGCGACCACCUGGACUGAUACUGACACUGAGGUGCGAAAGCGUGGGGAGCAAACAGGAUUAGAUACCCUGGG
This 765-nucleotide ribosomal RNA is filed under the name bacterium HPCPW44. RNAcentral describes it as "bacterial SSU rRNA". It matches the Rfam family "Bacterial small subunit ribosomal RNA", at positions 33 to 791 of the family's 1533-position model. The record is from RNAcentral.